This 396-nucleotide ribosomal RNA is filed under the name uncultured bacterium. Its description in RNAcentral is "bacterial SSU rRNA". It matches the Rfam family "Bacterial small subunit ribosomal RNA", at positions 28 to 419 of the family's 1533-position model. The record is from RNAcentral.
GACGAACGCUGGCGGUGUGCUUAACACAUGCAAGUGGUGCGACGAACCAGGCUUCGGCCUGGGGCAAAGCCGCGAACGGUGAGUAACACGUGGGUAAUCUGCCCCGAUGACCGGGACAACCCGAGGAAACUCGGGCUAAUACCGGAUGUGGUGCCCAGACAUAAGUCUGGUCACUAAAGGUAGCUUCGGCUUCCGCAUUGGGAGGGCCCGCGGCCCAUUAGCUUGUUGGUGGGUCAAGGCCUACCAAGGCAACGAUGGGUAGCUGGUCUGAGAGGACGAUCAGCCACACUGGGACUGAGACACGGCCCAGACUCCUACGGGAGGCAGCAGUGGGGAAUCUUGCGCAAUGCGCGAAAGCGUGACGCAGCAACAACCGCGUGAGGGAAGACGGCCUUA